This 796-nucleotide small RNA is filed under the name Pongo abelii (Sumatran orangutan). Its description in RNAcentral is "retained intron". Lineage: Eukaryota; Metazoa; Chordata; Mammalia; Primates; Hominidae. The record is from RNAcentral.
GAGUGCUGUGACAGGCCUCAGCCUUCACGCCACUGGUGACUAUCUCCUGAGCUCCUCCGAUGAUCAGUACUGGGCUUUCUCUGACAUCCAGACAGGGCGUGUGCUCACCAAGGUGACAGAUGAGACCUCCGGCUGCUCUCUUACCUGUGCACAGUUCCACCCUGACGGACUCAUCUUUGGAACAGGAACCAUGGACUCUCAGAUCAAGAUCUGGGACUUGAAGGAACGUACUAAUGUGGCCAACUUCCCUGGCCACUCGGGCCCCAUCACUAGCAUUGCCUUCUCUGAGAAUGGUUACUACCUGGCUACAGCGGCUGAUGACUCCUCUGUCAAGCUCUGGGAUCUGCGCAAGCUUAAGAACUUUAAGACAUUGCAGCUGGAUAACAACUUUGAGGUAAAGUCACUGAUCUUCGACCAGAGUGGUACCUACCUGGCCCUUGGGGGCACAGAUGUCCAGAUCUACAUCUGCAAACAAUGGACGGAGAUUCUUCACUUUACAGGUAGAGGCUGGUCCUGGGCUCCUGGGGUCUCUCUAGGUGCCCAGGCCCGGAGGGAAGCCUCACUGGGUUAGGAAUUUCUAGGGCUUGCAUGAAUUUUUCUUAGCAGCUUUCGGUUACCAUCUGAGGCAGAGCUUUAUGACUAAGGAAGCAACUGAGUCAGACUGCAUGGCAGUAGAUGCUAGUGCUCGCUCUGCCACUUCCAUGCCCUGUGGCAUGGGGCAGGUUACUGAAGGGAGAGAAAACUCCCUCUGAAGGUUGGAUAACUGAAUCUAAAAUAAAUGAACAUUAGACAGUGA